Molecule: ribosomal RNA, 700 nt
Filed under: Halobacillus sp.
Lineage: Bacteria; Bacillati; Bacillota; Bacilli; Caryophanales; Bacillaceae
Description: bacterial SSU rRNA
Rfam family: Bacterial small subunit ribosomal RNA
Source: RNAcentral
GCGCGGGAAGCGAGUGGAUCCCUUCGGGGUGAAGCUCGUGGAACGAGCGGCGGACGGGUGAGUAACACGUGGGCAACCUGCCUGUAAGAUCGGAAUAACCCCGGGAAACCGGGGCUAAUGCCGGGUAAUACUUUCUUUCGCAUGAAGGAAAGUUGAAAGAUGGCUUCUCGCUAUCACUUACAGAUGGGCCCGCGGCGCAUUAGCUAGUUGGUGAGGUAACGGCUCACCAAGGCGACGAUGCGUAGCCGACCUGAGAGGGUGAUCGGCCACACUGGGACUGAGACACGGCCCAGACUCCUACGGGAGGCAGCAGUAGGGAAUCUUCCGCAAUGGACGAAAGUCUGACGGAGCAACGCCGCGUGAACGAUGAAGGUCUUCGGAUCGUAAAGUUCUGUUGUUAGGGAAGAACAAGUACCGUGCGAAUAGAGCGGUACCUUGACGGUACCUAACGAGGAAGCCCCGGCUAACUACGUGCCAGCAGCCGCGGUAAUACGUAGGGGGCAAGCGUUGUCCGGAAUUAUUGGGCGUAAAGCGCGCGCAGGCGGUUCCUUAAGUCUGAUGUGAAAGCCCACGGCUCAACCGUGGAGGGUCAUUGGAAACUGGGGAACUUGAGGACAGAAGAGGAGAGUGGAAUUCCACGUGUAGCGGUGAAAUGCGUAGAUAUGUGGAGGAACACCAGUGGCGAAGGCGACUCUCUGGU